RNAcentral lists this long non-coding RNA (320 nucleotides) under Homo sapiens (human). RNAcentral's name for it is "HSALNT0054066". The record is from RNAcentral. Lineage: Eukaryota; Metazoa; Chordata; Mammalia; Primates; Hominidae.
AGGGCUCCAGACUGCUAGGAGAGUCCAGGAAGACACUGCUAUCCCCAUGCAUCUGGUCCUUGUUGAGACCUCCCAGCUCUGCAGUUCGAGCUUUGGCCAGCUGCUGUCUUUGUUUAUGUGAGCGCCAGCUGUGGGGAGAAAGGGAGACCUACCAACCUGCCCCCACCUUCAAGACAGGGAAUUGGUUGGGAGUCCAGACAGGGAAGGGGGUGCCACAGGGCAGUGCCCAGACCACCUACCACUUGAAGGCCAUGUAGGCAAGCAGACCGAGGACCACAGUGGCCAGAAGGGUACAGUAGACUGGGAUGAUGCUGCCUGAG